UAAAAGCGGCUGCUUGGACCGGCGACCGGAACGUAGGGCUUCCGCGCCCCUCUGCUGGGGAACCCGUCGGAGACGGCCAGGCGGGACUGUGGCUGCCGCUCAGGAUCUGCGGUGACGGAGGCGCCUCGAGGCCAUGUGGGGGCACUAAACGUUUGGGAGAAACGGGAAAAGCCCUAGGAGAGGCGUCGCAGAGGUUGGGAAGUACGGCCCGCCUAUGGGACCGGAGAAUCUGACCGACUGUAGCCGGAGGGCAGGGAGGCGGUGCCAAAGGGAACGGCCGCCUUUGCUUGAAGAAAAAGCUGGGAAAAGAGCCUGACUGUAAUCCAAAGCUUUAGGUCAAUGAGCGCGGGCGCACCCCCCAAAGUUGAAGGAAGGAAAGGCCCUCGGGUGACCUCCGGGGAUCAGGGGGUGUCCCUUGGCUGCAGAGCCCUCCCCGCGCACGCUGUCCUAGGUCCCUAGCCCACCGGAAACGGGAGCAGCAGGUUUUUCAGCCAAAUGAUGUGAAGGGCAGCCAAGGGAAAGGAGAAGAAACCCAAGCAGAAGAAUUUCAAGAAGCCCUCCCACAGAGAGGACUGCAUGCAUAUGCUACAGUGUCACUGAGCAGCAGCGACAUUUGGUGACAUCACCUUUGUAUGAUGUACAGUCAUGAACAGACCUUCUGAUGCAGUGCACAUAUCAGAUAAAUAAAAAAAAACCUUUAUCUUACUAAUCUGUAAGGCAAAUCAA
Mastomys coucha (southern multimammate mouse) is the source of this 726-nucleotide long non-coding RNA. RefSeq lists it as uncharacterized. The record is from RefSeq and is a predicted model, not a curated record. Lineage: Eukaryota; Metazoa; Chordata; Mammalia; Rodentia; Muridae. The transcript is spliced from 2 exons.